GUGCCAGCAGCCGCGGUAAAACGUAGGUCACAAGCGUUGUCCGGAAUUACUGGGUGUAAAGGGAGCGCAGGCGGGGAAACAAGUUGGAAGUGAAAUCUACGGGCUCAACUCGUAAACUGCUUUCAAAACUGUUUCUCUUGAGUAGUGCAGAGGUAAGCGGAAUUCCCGGUGUAGCGGUGGAAUGCGUAGAUAUCGGGAGGAACACCAGUGGCGAAGGCGGCUUACUGGGCACCAACUGACGCUGAGGCUCGAAAGCAUGGGUAGCAAACAGGAUUAGAUACCCUGGUAGUCCAUGCCGUAAACGAUGAUUACUAGGUGUUGGAGGAUUGACCCCUUCAGUGCCGCAGUUAACACAAUAAGUAAUCCACCUGGGGAGUACGACCGCAAGGUUGAAACUCAAAGGAAUUGACGGGGGCCCGCACAAGCAGUGGAGUAUGUGGUUUAAUUCGACGCAACGCGAAGAACCUUACCAAGUCUUGACAUCGAGUGACGGAGCUAGAAAUAGCUCUUCCCUUCGGGGCACGAAGACAGGUGGUGCAUGGUUGUCGUCAGCUCGUGUCGUGAGAUGUUGGGUUAAGUCCCGCAACGAGCGCAACCCUUAUGCUUAGUUACUACGAAAGAGGACUCUAGGCAGACUGCCGUUGACAAAACGGAGGAAGGUGGGGAUGACGUCAAAUCAUCAUGCCCUUUAUGACUUGGGCUACACACGUACUACAAUGGCGUUUAACAAAGAGAAGCAAGACCGCGAGGUGGAGCAAAACUCAAAAACAACGUCCCAGUCCAGAUUGCAGGCUGCAACUCGCCUGCAUGAAGUCGGAAUUGCGAGUAAUCGCAGAUCAGAAUGCUGCGGUGAAUACGUUCCCGGGCCUUGUACACACCGCCCGU
This 885-nucleotide ribosomal RNA is filed under the name uncultured bacterium. RNAcentral's name for it is "bacterial SSU rRNA". It matches the Rfam family "Bacterial small subunit ribosomal RNA", at positions 505 to 1397 of the family's 1533-position model. The record is from RNAcentral.